CCUACGGGCGGCAGCAGUGGGGAAUAUUGCACAAUGGGGGAAACCCUGAUGCAGCGAAGCCGCGUGAGUGAAGAAGUUUUUCGGUAUGUAAAGCCCUAUCAGCAGGGAAGAAAAUGACGGUACCUGAUUAAGAAGCCCCGGAUAACUACGGUACAGCAGCCGCGGUAAUACGUAGGGGGCCAGCGUUAUCCGGAUUUACUGGGUGUAAAGGGAGCGUAGACGGCAGGACAAGUCUGGAGUGAAAUGCCGGGGCUUAACCCCGGAACUGCUUUGGAAACUGUGCAGCUAGAGUGAAGGAGAGGUAAGUGGAAUUCCUGGUGUAGCGGUGAAAUGCGUAGAUAUUAGGAGGAACACCAGUUGCGAAGGCGGCUUACUGGACUCUAACUGACGUUGAGGCUCGAAAGCGUGGGUAGCAAACAGGAUUAGAUACCCGGGUAGUC
This 440-nucleotide ribosomal RNA is filed under the name uncultured bacterium. RNAcentral describes it as "partial 16S ribosomal RNA". It matches the Rfam family "Bacterial small subunit ribosomal RNA", at positions 338 to 795 of the family's 1533-position model. The record is from RNAcentral.